GGGCCCGCACAAGCGGAGGAACAUGUGGUUUAAUUCGAUGAUACGCGAGGAACCUUACCCGGGCUUGAAAUGCAUCUGACGAACCUGGAAACAGGUUUUCUAGCAAUAGCAGAUGUGUAGGUGCUGCAUGGUUGUCGUCAGCUCGUGCCGUGAGGUGUCGGCUUAAGUGCCAUAACGAGCGCAACCCUUAUCAUUAGUUGCCAUCGGGUCAAGCCGGGAACUCUAAUGAGACUGCCACCGUAAGGUGUGAGGAAGGUGGGGAUGACGUCAAAUCAGCACGGCCCUUACGUCCGGGGCGACACACGUGUUACAAUGGGGGGUACAGCGGGCAGCUACCACGCGAGUGGAUGCUAAUCUCUGAAAGCCUCUCUCAGUUCGGAUCGGAGUCUGCAACUCGACUCCGUGAAGCUGGAUUCGCUAGUAAUCGCGCAUCAGCCAUGGCGCGGUGAAUACGUUCCCGGGCCUU
This 466-nucleotide ribosomal RNA is filed under the name uncultured bacterium. RNAcentral describes it as "bacterial SSU rRNA". It matches the Rfam family "Bacterial small subunit ribosomal RNA", at positions 917 to 1382 of the family's 1533-position model. The record is from RNAcentral.